GUACCUCUGGCCCACACACUGGUGGGCUCCCGCGCCAAAUGCCAGGAAGUUCCUCUUGAACAAUUGAUCUUCCCGCCGGACAUCAGAGAACCGGUCCGGGUCGAACUGUUCUGCUUCGAUGAAACCUUGGAACGAGCUCUCGUAAACCGACGGAAACACUAUUGUCCCUUUGGCAAUUGUGUAUGACUCCGUCAAAGGGAAGUCCUUCACGGCGACAUGUGGUACCAAGGUAGCAGGCGUUCUGUACCUUAUAACCUCACGCGCCACUGUCUGUGUAUACUUCAUUGCCCUGACCUGCUCUGCCGUGAUCAGAUUAUUCGACUCCGGCGACCAGAUGCUAGUAACUUCUUCUCGAACUCUAGAUAA
This 366-nucleotide unclassified non-coding RNA is filed under the name Hevea brasiliensis (rubber tree). Lineage: Eukaryota; Viridiplantae; Streptophyta; Magnoliopsida; Malpighiales; Euphorbiaceae. The record is from RNAcentral.